GACGAACGCUGGCGGCGUGCUUAACACAUGCAAGUCGAACGGAAAGGCCCUGCUUUUGUGGGGUGCUCGAGUGGCGAACGGGUGAGUAACACGUGAGUAACCUGCCCUUGACUUUGGGAUAACUUCAGGAAACUGGGGCUAAUACCGGAUAGGAGCUCCUGCUGCAUGGUGGGGGUUGGAAAGUUUCGGCGGUUGGGGAUGGACUCGCGGCUUAUCAGCUUGUUGGUGGGGUAGUGGCUUACCAAGGCUUUGACGGGUAGCCGGCCUGAGAGGGUGACCGGCGUCAAUGGGACUGAGAUACGGACCAGACGGCUACGGGAGGCAGCAGUGGGAAAUAUGACACAAUGGGCGGAAGCCUGAUGCAGCAACGCCGCGUGCGGGAUGACGGCCUUCGGGUUGUAAACCGCUUUCGCCUGUGACGAAGCGUGAGUGACGGUAAUGGGUAAAGAAGCACCGGCUAACUACGUG
This 468-nucleotide ribosomal RNA is filed under the name uncultured bacterium. RNAcentral describes it as "partial 16S ribosomal RNA". It matches the Rfam family "Bacterial small subunit ribosomal RNA", at positions 28 to 507 of the family's 1533-position model. The record is from RNAcentral.